CCUUAUACUUUCUGGUGAGAAGCUCUGCCCCUUGAGAAUUAGGGUCUGGGGGGAGAAAGGGAGGUUGGAACACCGCUGAACUUUCUUGUGGGCCAUGCAGCAGCCCUGAGGAUGACCAGCAACCCCAGAGGAGUCAGCAUCUGUCUGUGCCCCAGGUGCUAAUGCAGAAAGGGAAAGAAACCACCGAGAAUGAGAGGUGGGAGUAAAAAGACCUAGGAGUGUUCGUGGGUGCUGGGUGUUUGGGUGCGUUUGUUUUCUGGCCUAUCUCUCUGGUUCCUCCACAGCAGGCUCCAGAGCCAGCGAUCGCACCAAGGAUGUCUGAGGGAAACGCCUAACACAGAGACGCCCCCUCCCCAAGGCUCAGCUGUCUCCCGACUGUAGAAGGUCCCCAAGAGAGGGCUCCCUCCGGGACGGGAUUGGACUCUGCUCCAAGGAGGCGGGCCGCGGGGCCGGCGGCCGAGGGGUAUUUAAGGCUGGGCGGAGUUGGAGGUGGCCAAGGGCGAAAUGAGUGGGCUACCGGGCGCCAGGACCUGCCCAGGUCCGGGAGAGGCCUCCGACCUUAAGUCCCCUCUGGGCGCCAAGUUCAGGGAACCUCUCACCGAGACCCGGUUCCAGCAGCUCUUCGGAGACGCAGAGCAGGAGCCCGAGCUGCUCGCGGAGCCGCGCUGGUCCCGGCUGUGGCGGCGGCGGGCCAGCGCCUGCUCUGGACCAGGGGCGUGGCGCCUGCUCCUGGCGCGGCUGCCUCCGCUGCGCUGGCUGCCCCACUACCGCUGGCGGGCCUGGCUGCUCGGGGACGCGGUGGCCGGACUGACCGUGGGCAUCGUGCACGUGCCCCAGGGCAUGGCUUUUGCCCUCCUGACCUCUGUGCCCCCAGUGUUCGGACUCUACACUUCUUUCUUUCCCGUCCUCAUCUACACCUUGUUGGGUACUGGGAGACACCUGUCUACUGGAACUUUCGCUGUCCUCAGCCUCAUGACCGGCUCGGCCGUGGAGCGGCUGGUGCCCGAACCCCUCUCAGGGAACCUGAGCGGAAUUGAGAAGGAACAGUUGGAUGCUCAGCGGGUUGGUGCGGCUGCGGCAGUGGCCUUCGGGAGCGGGGCCCUGAUGCUGGGGAUGUUUGCCCUGCAGCUGGGCGUCCUGGCCACCUUCUUGUCGGAGCCUGUAGUCAAAGCGCUGACCAGCGGGGCCGCCCUGCACGUGCUCGUGUCCCAGCUGCCUAGUCUUUUGGGGGUGCCCCUCCCACGUCAGAUUGGCUGCUUCGCUCUUUUCAAGACGUUGGCUGCUGUGUUGACGGCGCUGCCCCGGAGCAGUCCCGCCGAACUGACCAUCUCAGCACUCAGCCUGGCGCUGCUCGUGCCGGUCAAGGAACUGAACGUGAGAUUCAGAGACAGGCUACCCACCCCCAUCCCGGGGGAAAUCGCCAUGGUGCUUCUGGCCUCUGUGCUCUGCUUCACCUCUUCCCUGGACACAAGAUACAAUGUCCAGAUAGUUGGGUUGCUGCCUGGAGGAUUUCCCCAACCUCUCCUCCCCAGCCUGGCUGAGCUGCCCAGGAUUCUGGCCGACUCGUUGCCCAUGGCGCUGGUUACCUUUGCAGUGUCUGCCUCCCUGGCCUCCAUCUAUGCAGACAAGUACAGCUACACUAUUGACUCCAACCAGGAGCUCCUGGCACAUGGUGUCUCCAACCUCGUCUCCUCCCUCUUCUCUUGCUUUCCCAACUCUGCCACGUUGGCUACGACCAGCCUACUCGUGGAUGCUGGUGGGAACACACAGCUGGCAGGCCUCUUCUCCUGUAUGGUUGUCCUGUCUGUACUACUGUGGCUGGGGCCCCUCUUCUACUAUCUGCCCAAGGCUGUCUUGGCCUGCAUCAACAUCUCCAGCAUGCGCCAGAUGUUCUUCCAGAUGCGAGAACUCCCUCAACUAUGGCGCAUCAGCCGCGUGGACUUUGCUGUGUGGAUGGUCACAUGGGUGGCUGUCGUGACCCUGAGUGUGGACCUGGGCCUGGCUGUAGGUGUGGUCUUCUCCAUGAUGACUGUGGUCUGCCGCACCCAGAGGGUACAGUGCCUGGCACUUGGACUGGCUGAGGGGACAGAGCUCUACCGGCCACUCAGAGAGAGCCACAAGCUCCUCCAGGUCCCAGGGCUCUGCAUCCUGAGCUAUCCAGCACCACUUUACUUUGGGACCCGAGGGCAGUUUCGCCGUGUCCUGGAGUGGCAUCUGGGGCUUGGAGAAGGAAGAAAGGAGGCUCCAAAGACAGAUGGCCCACCUGAUGCAGCUGCCGAGCCUGUCAGGGUGGUGGUCCUAGACUGCAGUGGUGUCACCUUUGCAGAUGCUGCAGGCGCCAGAGAAGUGGUUCAGCUGGCCAGUCGAUGCCGAGACGCUGGGAUCCACCUUCUCCUGGCUCAGUGUAAUGCCUCAGUGCUGGGGACGCUGACCCAGGCAGGACUCCUGGACAGAGUGACCCCAGAACAGCUGUUUGUCAGUGUCCAGGAUGCAGCUGCGCAUGCUCUGGAGAGGCUGGAGCUCAAUGGUCCAAAGACUUGCACAGUGUGGGUCUGACCCGGUCAUUUGGUGUGUGGAGGGCCCCAACGAGACAUGUGUGAGGCGGUCCAUGGCCCCUGAGUCCCCUGACUUCAUGUAACUAAUAAAAUGACGCUGAGAGCCUCUGGGGUUCAUGAAAUGAGUCUGGGUGUCUGCACAUGGACCCUUGGUGCCCCUUCCUUCACUCCCAAAGCAUUGCAAAGACACAACUAAAAAUGGCUUUCCCCUGUAUGUUCACCAGCCCCCAUUCCAACUCCAUUCUCUCCAUGGGGGUGAGGCUGCAGCCACUGCACAGAGUCCUGGAUCCAGAGAUCGGGGCACAGCCCUGGGACUAUAUACUGGGGGCUUCCCCAACCCCUUAGUACCAAGGAGAUGAGAGGAGAGUAUUUCUGCUUUAGGUUUUUAGAGUCCCCCUUUGGGCUCUUUGGCACUUGAAAAGCAACCCCCCACUCCCUGCCCUAGGAGAAGGGGUAGGGGGGAGGACUUGGCACUGGCUGUGGGACAAGUUAUGGCUCCAUCAUGCCCCUGGGCACUUGCAGAAAGGAGGAGGGACACCAGGACAAGCCCCUGUUUGGGAUCAAGUUCUGAAGGAGACUGGGACAGUCAGUGGAGUGGUCACUGGCUGGCGGGGUUUGCUAGGAAUUCCUGGCAGGGACAAGGAGGCAGGCCUAGUCUGACAGCUGAAAGGCCCCAAGUGGCCAUCACUCUGAAGUCAUGCACUGCAGCCGGUGUUUGAAGAAGAGCAGGCGAUGUUUGGCCACCUGACUCUCGUCCAGUGAUCCCGGGUAACGGUACCGAGCAUAAGUCUCUGCCUUCGCAUCCCUUGAGGUCCAAGGCAACUUCAACUUGGAUGCGUGAUCCACAACGACGUCUGAGCAGGAGCCCACUUGAAGAGAACCAAGUCCAUCCAGGAAGAAUUCUGGGGGCAGAGGGAAGGGGAGUACACAAUGAAGGGUCUUGAGGAUUCAGAGGCACCGCUGCCCCUAAAGGAGAACUGAGAUUUGGGAUAUGGUGGGUGCAUAUGCAAAGACUCCAUCUCUAAGGACCUUAGGCAUGUAAAUCAACCCUUUUGAGUCUUGUAUAAAAUGGAGUCAAUAUCCUUAUCUUGUACUUUGAAAACGGAUUCCUUCCCUCCCUCCUGCAACACACACACACCCAAAAAUUCAAUAAAUGCGGACUUGGCUGCUCCGAGGUAGCCUGAACCAGGAGAUUCGGUUGGGAGCAGGAUAGAGGCCGAGGUGACCGUGGUGGGGAAGCUCAAGGCAGACCCAGUGGCUGUACUGGCCGCUGAGGUUUAAAUGAUGUUUGGGGCUGGGAUGUUUGGAGCUCUCUCUGUGGCCGGGGCACGGGUCUUGGCGAAUCUUCGUAGAACUGCUCUAGGGACCCCGGUGGCAGCUGUGGGCUCCGCGGGGUGGUCGGGCAGUAGUACUCAGGGCCCCAGGCACCUUACUGCCCCACCACCCCGCGGUCCCUGGUCCCGAGCCCCGAAGGGUCCCUGCCCGGCCUGGAGGGGGCGCCACUCACCCAGGUGCGCCACGCGGCUGAGGCGAGGGUCAAAGCCGACCUCGCGCACCUUGUCAGUGCGCGCCAGGAAGAAGUUGACCACACCGUCGGUGACCACGCACCCCGGGAAGCCGACGAGCUCGUGGUGGAAGCCGCGCUUCUGCCGGAGGCAGUUCCCGCGGCCUGGCGCGCCGGGCUCCACGCUCAGCAGCUGCCGGUCCAGCGGCGUCCUCUCCAACACGUCCACAAGCCUCUCUAGUCGCGUCCGUGCCGUGAAGACGAAGUCAUCGUCCACCCACAGCACGUACUUGGUGGUUACUUGGGAUAUGGCCAGGUUCCGGCCUGCGAACCAGCCCUGGGAAAGGCGAUCUUUCAGCAUCCUGCAACCCAGCGAGACGUGCUGCGCACCGAAGGAGCGGACAUGGGGAGAACGAUCAUAGCCAGGCUCGGACUGGGGCUGCUGCUUCUGGCUCUGCUCUUACCUACGCAGACUUACUCAAAUCAAACAACUGUUGUAACACCUUCAAGUAACUCCUCCCAGACUACCUCACCUGCCCCUCAUCCAGCCAAUGCCACCACCAAGGCAAGCGAUGGUACUCUGCAGUCAACAGCCAGUCUCUGUGAUCUCGGUUUCCCUUCUACAUCUCUACUGUUAAGAGACUCAGGCGAAGAAACAUCUGUACUUCACCAUCUUCUAAAUCCGGUUCAAAUGGCAUCUAUACAUCCUGUGUGACAAAGG
This is an RNA transcript of Bubalus bubalis (water buffalo), 4780 nucleotides long. It is a transcript of the gene named solute carrier family 26 member 10, with no coding region annotated. The record is from RefSeq and is a predicted model, not a curated record. The transcript is spliced from 20 exons. Lineage: Eukaryota; Metazoa; Chordata; Mammalia; Artiodactyla; Bovidae.